RNAcentral lists this transfer RNA (73 nucleotides) under Chloroflexota bacterium. Its description in RNAcentral is "tRNA-Arg". It matches the Rfam family "tRNA". From Rfam's summary of the family: Transfer RNA (tRNA) molecules are approximately 80 nucleotides in length. Their secondary structure includes four short double-helical elements and three loops (D, anti-codon, and T loops). Lineage: Bacteria; Bacillati; Chloroflexota. The record is from RNAcentral.
GCCCCUGUAGCUCAGUGGAUAGAGCAUCUGACUUCUAAUCAGAGGGCCACAGGUUCGAAUCCUGUCAGGGGUG